AGGAGAGGUUUGCGUGGAAGUUAUCCACAACUUUGGUGGCUGGGGCGGGGGAGGGUCUACCGUGAUGCUAACCCCAUUGUGGUUGCCGGGCGACUACGGGACUCUCAGAAUCGAGCCGCACCGCGUCCCCAGGGAUCCGCCAGCACCGGUGGAGGAGGCUGCGGGCGGCGCGCACWGGACAGGGCCCAUGCAGUUACAGGUGUUUUUUAGAGGACACCCACGAACCACAGUAAAUAUGGAUUGAAUGAUAGAAGUGCAAUGACCAAUUAAGAAGCAAUUAGAAAUCCACUGUAGUAAUCCAGCAAGAAAUAAUGGUCUCCUGGACUGAGGUGGUAUUAAUGGAAAUGAAGGGAACAGAUGAAUUUUGGAUCUACUGGAGAUAAAGAACUGACGAGACUUGAAGAGUGAGAAUGCACAAGUCGGGUGAGGAGAGGAAGGAAGGAACCAAGGACCACCAACAGGACUGAACAACUUGGCGGGUGAUGGUGCAUGUUAUGGAAAAGGUGGAUGAGAACUGACACGGGCAUGCAAAUCAAGAAUUUCAUUUUGGCAUGCUAACUUUGAACUGCUGUUGAGAGGGUCAAAUGGAAACAGUGAGCCUAAAGACAGACAGUUCUCUGACUCUAGGCCCUCGUCUUUCCCUGGGCUUCUCAAGACCUGUGAUGUGGUGUGGCAUAAAGGGAUGAGCUGGGCUCAUAGGAUUUCCUUCUUUCUGAGUCUGAACUGGAAGUACUGAAUCAACCUGGCAGUUGGCAGCAGAGGAUAACCUGCCAAGUCAUGAUUUGGGAAAAGAACCAUUAAGGACCAUGAUGAAUAGAUGACAUGGGACAGUAUGGUAGAGGCGGAGGACAUUCUUUGUGAGCAAUAAGGGCAGCUGGAAGAGAGAGGCAAGUUUAUGAGAAGAAGCUGUGUCUGGGACUAGACCUCAGGGUGGCAGUGUCUUGCAGUUGAGGUGUUUAACUGCUUUUGAGUCAGAUAGAAUCUCCUCUUUCAGACCGUGAAGCAACAGCAUGCAAAUUGCUAGAAAGUCUGUUUAAGAAAUAACAACAACAACAACAAAAUAAAAUUCAGAAUGAGAAGGAGUCUCA
RNAcentral lists this long non-coding RNA (1088 nucleotides) under Urocitellus parryii (Arctic ground squirrel). Its description in RNAcentral is "lncRNA (ENSUPAG00010002697.1)". The record is from RNAcentral. Lineage: Eukaryota; Metazoa; Chordata; Mammalia; Rodentia; Sciuridae.